ACAGUCACACAUUAGAUACCGCGUAGUCCCAGCCGUAAACUAUGCGCGUUAGGUGUAUCGGUGACCACGAGUCACCGAGGUGCCGAAGGGAAACCGUGAAACGUGCCGCCUGGGAAGUACGGUCGCAAGGCUGAAACUUAAAGGAAUUGGCGGGGAGCACCACAACGGGUGGAGCCUGCGGUUUAAUUGGACUCAACGCCGGGAAGCUCACCGGAUAAGGCAGCGGAAUGAUUGCCGGGCUGAAGACUCUGCAUGACUAGCUG
RNAcentral lists this ribosomal RNA (263 nucleotides) under uncultured archaeon. Its description in RNAcentral is "partial 16S ribosomal RNA". It matches the Rfam family "Archaeal small subunit ribosomal RNA", at positions 716 to 982 of the family's 1478-position model. The record is from RNAcentral.